CAGGACAUGCAAUCAGGUUUUAGAGGAAUUGAUGCGAAACUGCAUGAAGGGUUUAAAAGAAUGCAAGAGGUACUGAGUGAAUUGGUUCAAAGCAAAACAGUCAACGUACCAGAAUCAAGACUUUAUGUCAACAUACGGACUGAACAUGGGGAAGAACUUGUGUCAGAUUUACUGGUGCAAUCCGCCAAUGAAAUAAGAGAGGGAAGAAGCCUAACUGACCUGCAGAAACUUCUUGACCAAGCAUUUAAUGUGUGGU
Dreissena polymorpha is the source of this 256-nucleotide long non-coding RNA. RefSeq lists it as uncharacterized. The record is from RefSeq and is a predicted model, not a curated record. The transcript has 3 exons. Lineage: Eukaryota; Metazoa; Mollusca; Bivalvia; Myida; Dreissenidae.